GCAGUAACCCAGAUGGUUGCGCACAAUGUGUGAGGAAAGUCCGGGCUCCAUAGGACAGGAUGCAAGCUAACGGCUUGUGGAGGCGACUCUAAGGAAAGUGCAACAGAAAGAUACCGCCUGCUUUUGCAGGUAAGGGUGGAAAGGCGAGGUAAGAGCUCACCCGCCUGUAUGGUGACAUACGGGCGCUGUAAACCCCAUCCGGAGCAACGCUUGAAUGGGAGGCUAAGCUGGUCCGGCAUCUCCCGAAAGGGCGGCUUGAGGCGUCUGGCGACAGGCGUCCCAGAUAGAUGACCAUCCACGACAGAACCCGGCUUACGGUUUGCUGCCAAC
This 330-nucleotide RNase P RNA is filed under the name Clostridia bacterium. Its description in RNAcentral is "RNase P RNA component class A". It matches the Rfam family "Bacterial RNase P class A". Rfam says of the family: Ribonuclease P (RNase P) is a ubiquitous endoribonuclease, found in archaea, bacteria and eukarya as well as chloroplasts and mitochondria. Its best characterised activity is the generation of mature 5'-ends of tRNAs by cleaving the 5'-leader elements of precursor-tRNAs. Lineage: Bacteria; Bacillati; Bacillota; Clostridia. The record is from RNAcentral.